GAAGUCACGUCACGGAAUUUUUCCCAUCUAAAGGCCCCGCCUUUGGGAAGACGCCGCCUAGCUACCAGUCUUCGAAAGCUUUGACAAGGAGAGCUAGCACUAAACAAAGAGAACAUAGAAAAAAAGAGAUUAGUGACAAAAAUGAAGGUUCUAUUGGUGAAAUGUGCUUACCACCUAAUCUCCAAGCGAGCGGUAUCUCAUCGGAACGAUGCUGAUAUCUCCCUCGAAUUUUCUAUUUCGAUGCGUUGAAGUUUUGGCGAUCUUCCAAAAAAUUGCUGGUGAACAGAACUAGAGAGAGCCCUGUCUCUGUUGUUAGUAGAAGGGACAUCAAAUCAAACCAGGACGAGCAGUGGUGUCAUCUCUGUAGCUCUCGACAAAAAGUAGUUUUAAUCGAGCAAGCAAGAUAUAAGAACUACAAAGGAAAGAAGGAAACUCACGAAAGCACUUGAACCGACAAUAAUCAUCACCAAAAGCUAGCAACACUUGUAAGGAGGACAGCCAAGACAACACUUGGCCGAGCAACGACGAGAACACGAUAUAACUCCACGCUGACCCACAGCCGGAUGAAGAUCACACCCUACGCCACACAACAAAGAAAAUACGUACACAUGCUCGCCAUGCACGCCAGGAAGAUCCAAGUCUUAUUCGGGAAGCAGCAUUGAAGAGGAUAAGCCCGGGGUCGCCAAUGGGUCUCCUCCACAGUAGAGCGAAGGCUUGCACUGGAAUAGAAACAGCCAGUCGCAGCAGCUGAGUCAUCCAUUCCAAACGAAGAAACUUUUGGAGAACUUGCCUGAAACGGGAAUUUUUGUAGCCUUAUGAUGUGCUCAUGAGGUUGUUCGUAGUAGAAGUAGUCGCCCUUGGCAGCGGGGCGGGAUGGAUUCUUAAGGUCCUCUAAGUCGCGACUGAUCGAGGAGCAAACGGUCCAGGAUCCUCGCUCGCAAGGCAUUGUCGUUGUUAAAUGUCUUUAUGACGCUA
RNAcentral lists this long non-coding RNA (975 nucleotides) under Selaginella moellendorffii. RNAcentral's name for it is "long non-coding RNA (SMOE_LNC001760)". The record is from RNAcentral. Lineage: Eukaryota; Viridiplantae; Streptophyta; Lycopodiopsida; Selaginellales; Selaginellaceae.